GAUUAAUGCUGACGGUGUGCAUAAUACAUGCAAGUCGAACGUGCGAUGCGAAAGUAGCAAUACUUUUACAAAGUAAGUGGCGAACGGGUGAGUAACAAGUGGACAAUCUGCCCUUAAGAUCGGGAUAAUUAUUCGAAAGGAUAGCUAAUACCGAAUGUUUUAUAUCUUUCGAUGAUUGAUAUAACAAAGGAAGCCGCAAGGCCUCCGCUUUUGGAUGAGUCCGCUGCCUAUUAGCUAGUUGGUAGGGUAAUGGCCUACCAAGGCUAUGAUGGGUAGCCGGCCCGAGAGGGUGUCCGGCCACACUGGGACUGAGAUACGGCCCAGACUCCUACGGGUGGCUG
This 341-nucleotide ribosomal RNA is filed under the name uncultured Actinomycetes bacterium. Its description in RNAcentral is "bacterial SSU rRNA". It matches the Rfam family "Bacterial small subunit ribosomal RNA", at positions 28 to 351 of the family's 1533-position model. Lineage: Bacteria; Bacillati; Actinomycetota; Actinomycetes. The record is from RNAcentral.